RNAcentral lists this long non-coding RNA (866 nucleotides) under Hordeum vulgare. RNAcentral describes it as "long non-coding RNA (HVUL_LNC004921)". The record is from RNAcentral. Lineage: Eukaryota; Viridiplantae; Streptophyta; Magnoliopsida; Poales; Poaceae.
UUCAGUCAUUUUUAAUUUUUAUGAAAGGGAUUAACCGAACAAGCCUCGAGAACAAAACCACGGCACGGUCUCGCCCGCUGCCCCGCUCGUCGCGCGGCGCAAGCUCUACGUGUGGUCGGCGGUUAAGGCACGGCGUUCCAUUUAUUCGCGCUCUGCAGCUACUCCCGCCAGCCAAGCUCGACACUUUGCUCCGUGACUGGCAGCAUCAAACGCAAAGCCUUUGGCGGCGACUGUACCUCAGCCUGCAUGCGCACCCACCCGUGCUAGCCCAGUGAUCGAUCGGCUCUUUGGUUUAUGCGGCUAUAAGAUGUUGAGCUGCAGGAAUUUACAACCCCCAAAACAAAACAAAACAAAGCAAAACAAAAUCUGCACUUGCCUUCACUUUUGCUUUUCCACGCCGUUGGCUGCUAGGUGAAUCUGUGAUACCGUUCGCUGUCCACCUCCGAGCAAAAAACUUCUUUGCCUCGCACGAGAUACACUGCUUUCCGUAUCAGUAUCACACAUUACCGUCAUAUAAUGACAAUCUCAUGAGUAAAAGAGAGUACUAUAAAAAAGCUGAUAAGGGCCGUGAAACCUCUGGUCUAGUACAGUAGUACUCGAGCUAUGUGCUGUUUUUUUCUUCCUUUUCAAGGUGCUCGAGAUUCAUUACAAGAGAAUAUGAAUUUAACUUUAUGUUUGGCAAAAGGCGUAUCAUUCAUUACGGAAUGCAGAUCCACAGCCACAAGCAUUUCCCAGCCAGCAACAAGAUAUAUACUCGUACAUGUCUCUCCGUUCCUCUGUAGCAUUUCCAUCUCUCCACGCACGGCCCCGGAGAGCAAGGAAAGAUGUUGCUAGCUCAAUACAGCAAAUAUUAUUAUUAUUACCCC